UUACCUCCUCGAAAGAGGGGUCGCCCUCCAC
This 31-nucleotide small RNA is filed under the name Bombyx mori (domestic silkworm). Its description in RNAcentral is "ovarian small RNA-36491". Lineage: Eukaryota; Metazoa; Arthropoda; Insecta; Lepidoptera; Bombycidae. The record is from RNAcentral.